AGCUCAUGAUUGGGCAUAAAGAGCGCGUAGGCGGACAUUUAAGUCAGGGGUGAAAUCCCAGAGCUCAACUCUGGAACUGCCUUUGAUACUGGGUGUCUUGAGUGUGAGAGAGGUAUGUGGAACUCCGAGUGUAGAGGUGAAAUUCGUAGAUAUUCGGAAGAACACCAGUGGCGAAGGCGACAUACUGGCUCAUUACUGACGCUGAGGCGCGAAAGCGUGGGGAGCAAACAGGAUUAGAUACCCUGGUAGUCCACGCCGUAAACGAUGAUUGCUAGUUGUCGGGCUGCAUGCAGUUCGGUGACGCAGCUAACGCAUUAAGCAAUCCGCCUGGGGAGUACGGUCGCAAGAUUAAAACUCAAAGAAAUUGACGG
RNAcentral lists this ribosomal RNA (371 nucleotides) under uncultured Brevundimonas sp. RNAcentral's name for it is "bacterial SSU rRNA". It matches the Rfam family "Bacterial small subunit ribosomal RNA", at positions 542 to 916 of the family's 1533-position model. The record is from RNAcentral. Lineage: Bacteria; Pseudomonadati; Pseudomonadota; Alphaproteobacteria; Caulobacterales; Caulobacteraceae.